Molecule: ribosomal RNA, 429 nt
Filed under: Pseudomonadota bacterium
Lineage: Bacteria; Pseudomonadati; Pseudomonadota
Description: Proteobacteria bacterium partial 16S ribosomal RNA
Rfam family: Bacterial small subunit ribosomal RNA
Source: RNAcentral
UGGGGAAUAUUGGACAAUGGGCGAAAGCCUGAUCCAGCCAUGCCGCGUGUGUGAAGAAGGUCUUCGGAUUGUAAAGCACUUUAAGUUGGGAGGAAGGGCAGUAAGCGAAUACCUUGCUGUUUUGACGUUACCGACAGAAUAAGCACCGGCUAACUCUGUGCCAGCAGCCGCGGUAAUACAGAGGGUGCAAGCGUUAUUCGGAAUUACUGGGCGUAAAGCGCGCGUAGGUGGUUCGUUAAGUUGAAUGUGAAAGCCCCGGGCUCAACCUGGGAACUGCAUCCAAAACUGGCGAGCUAGAGUAGGGCAGAGGGUGGUGGAAUUUCCUGUGUAGCGGUGAAAUGCGUAGAUAUAGGAAGGAACACCAGUGGCGAAGGCGACCACCUGGGCUCAUACUGACACUGAGGUGCGAAAGCGUGGGGAGCAAACAGG